CGACCAAUGGGGACAGCCGGAGCCAAGGGGCUCUCAGGGCAGCAGGAGGGCCGUGCAGGGCCACCAUCGUGUCAGCAGCACCGUGACCAUGGCUCACGACGUGGGGACGGGCAUUCGUGCCGCUUCCUCAGAAUAUUAACGACGGUCCCGGCAGAAUGCUGUAUGAAUAUUCAUAUGGAGAUCAAUCAAGCCUGGGCUGGCGGAUGGCACAGGGAGAGGGGCCCAGGUCCCAGCGGGCACACCUUGGCAGGGUGUGGCUGUAAGUCUCUGCCAGCUCCAGUCAGGAUCUGCCUCCCUUGGGAUGGGACAGGCCUGGGCCUGUUGUAUGGCCACAGGCAGAAGAGGCUGAUGGGUGACAUGACAUCACCACUUAGUGACUGCUCUCGUCCUGGGAGCCCAGAUGCUAGGGCGGGGCUCCUUCCCGGAAGACCCAGAGAAGUUCAUCUCAGGUUUAACGGGGGCACUGCUGCUUCAGACGCCAGGCAGUGGGUGGUGAGGUCCCUGUCCUCACUGGGGUCUGCAGCCGAGGACUGGCCACCGAGGCCCAGGCCAGGCAUGGGGAUGCUGGGUGGCCAGGGCCAGUCCUCGAGGGAACCCCUAGCACCUUGGGCCUGCCCCCAGCUCUCACGGCAGGAGAGGUUUCUUCCCACUCUGGUGACUGACGGCCUGGUGAAGGGAUUCACAGGACGGGAGCACAGUGGCUGGCGCCCUGGUGAAGGGAUUCACAGGACGGGAGCACGUGGGUUUCCAGUUCUUCCCAGCGGGCGCACGCAGGCCGGCACCCUCUCCCUCGCCUUUGG
This 800-nucleotide long non-coding RNA is filed under the name Pongo abelii (Sumatran orangutan). Its description in RNAcentral is "lincRNA". The record is from RNAcentral. Lineage: Eukaryota; Metazoa; Chordata; Mammalia; Primates; Hominidae.